RNAcentral lists this long non-coding RNA (5293 nucleotides) under Nicotiana benthamiana. RNAcentral describes it as "long non-coding RNA (NBEN_LNC029931)". The record is from RNAcentral. Lineage: Eukaryota; Viridiplantae; Streptophyta; Magnoliopsida; Solanales; Solanaceae.
GAAGAGAACAAGAUAUUUAUUUUUAACAAAAAUAAUUACCUUCAAGGGCAGUAUUCUGCGCUUCGCAGACGAUUCGAGCUCCUCGGGGAAUGAUUUUUGAGCAUGAGCGAGUCGGCUGGAUCUUAAAGCCUCUGAAUUGAGAGAAUCUAACGGAGGAACGAAGGCUUGAGAAUGAAGAACCGGCUACCGGAGCCAGCGACGACGACGGCAGAGCCCAGGCGCGUGGGACUUUAAUGGUUUCCAGCAAACCAGCCAUUGGAAGAGAGAGUGCGCGCGCGUGGAUAAUGGGGGGAGAGAGGGGAAGUGGAUAUUUACAGAGAGAUAGUGAGGUCUGUGGCUGAGCCGAGUGUUGGUUUUUGAGUUGGAUGUUAGAACUAAGAUAUACGAUUGUCUGUUGAUGAACGGAUGAGGAGUUUAGCGUUUCGCUUCCACGUGCCUCUCACGUGAUCCUCAAGGAUAAUAAAUAUUCUUGAAUUAUUGGAAAUAACUUAAAAAUAUUUUUUUAUUUAUUAUUAAUGUCAAAAUAUCUGUGCCAUCUUUGUUUUAGACCAUAAAUACCUAUAAACCGUUAGUCUUGCCACUGAAGCUAAUAUGACAGUCCAACUAGGUUAGAUUGACUUACAUGGUGAUCCACCUAAGCAAUCCAGCAUACAAAAUUAUAUUUUUGAAAAAAUAUUUUUUCAAAAUAUUUUAUUAAAAUACAAAAUCAACAUUUAUUCCCAAAAGAGUAAAAAUAUUCAGAAAAAUAAUUUAUUUCAAUUUUUUUAUUAAAAUACAAAAUCAACACUUAUUACGAAAAUAGUAAAAAGAAAAUUUUAAAAACUAUUUAUUUAUUAAAUACUAUAUAAUAUAAAAAUAAGUUAUUUUGGAGCGUGCUUUAAUAUAUUGUUCUGAAAUUUUUUUUUCGGAAUAAGUGUUCGAUCAUGAAAAUUUUAAGUUUCACUCGAAGUUGAAUUUUGAAAUAUUUGAAAUUUUGAAAACUCCAAAAAUUAUAAGAACUUCGGGUGAAGCAAUUGACUAUUACAGUAGAGGUGUGCCUUUUGUGAAGCUAUAACUGAUAUGUAUAUAAAAAUUUUGAUCAAACUAAUCAUAAAUUCACAAAAGAGAAUAAUGAAAUUUUUUAAUCAAAUCAUAAAGCCCAAUCAAGAAUAAUUAUUUGAGAUGUUUUUUCCUUCCAAAGCGAAAUAAUCACUCCUCUAGCUUAUUGCGCUUUCCAAAAUUUUUUCACUAAUUUCAGAAUAAGUGUUGAUUUGUAUUUUAAUAAAAUAAAUUCGAAAUAAAUAAUUUUCCUAAUAUUUCUUACUUUUUUCGGAAUAAAUGUUAAUUUUGUAUUUUAACAAAAAAAUUGAAAAAUAUUUUUUCUGAAAAAAUAGUUUUGCCCAGCUGGAUUGCUUAGGUGGAUGGCCAUGUAAGCAAACCUAACCUAGUUGGAUUGCCUAAGACUAACGGUUUAGGGGUAUUUGUGGUCCAAAACAUAGACGGCAGAGAUAUUUUUAGCACCAAAAAUAAAUGGAUGAUAUUUUUGAGCUAUUUCGAAUAGUUCAAGGGCAUUUUAUGAUUGAGAAAUGAAAUUAUAUAUACAUACAUAUAUAUAUAUAUACACGUACAUUUUUGUUACUGUCAAACGUAAAUAGUUUCGAUUGCGGACCCAAAGUAAUUCUUGGCAUUUAUGAUUCUGUUAGAGAUUUUUUGGUUCCUAUACAAUAUUUGAAAAUAUCAGUGAAGAAGGCUAAGACUUACCUCAAAAACAUAAUACAACAUGAUAAUUUCUAUCACCCAAAAGGCCAGUAGAGGUAUGUAUAUACAUGUCUCUCUACUGUCACUAAUUAUAUCUACAUCAAAAUCAGCUAACAAAAAAAUGCUCUUCUCAUAUUUUGUUCAUAUACUAGGCAUUUGCCAUUUAUCAUUGAUGAAUGGGACUUUACUUUCUUUAUUAGUGGCUUAAAUUAGGAAAUUCAGUUACAUUAUUUUUUUUCCUCUUCUUUUUCUCUAUUCUUUGCCGCCUUUCUUCUUAUAUAAACUAUUAUUAAUGUUUUAAAUUAGGGAAUUCAGUUAUAUUCAUUUUUUUUCUCUCAACUCCUCUUUACAAUAAUGUCUUAACUGUAAUAUAGCAAUUCCAAUAAUAUCUAACCACAGUGACGUAUAAUAGUUUUAAGACAUUUUUUAGAGAGAACAUAUAGAACUUUAACUGAAAUUGUCGACGCAAACAAAUUUUUUAUGACUCAAAAACGAAAGAUUGUCCAAUACCUAGAAGGUAAAUACAAUAAAAGGAAAACACAUAGGUUUACGUUUGAUCUCAAACUUGCCAACUAGUGCAACAAAAUUUGCAUAAAUUCAAAGUAGCUUCUCAAUUAACGUAUGGCCUAACAUGUUACAUGAAUAAGUUGGGUCUGCUAGCCUUGUAUGUUGUCUUCAUUUUCGUACUAGGUGGUAUGGCUUUCUUGAACACCUUUGUUGAACACCCUGGAGUCAUGGAACUGCUUGGUGCUCUCGUGAGAACCAAAUCUUAUAAAACUAUUUUAAUAGUUUGAACCAGAAUGUAAUGCCAAAUCAAAGCAAUAAAGACAUUAACGAUAGACAGGACCUAACCGGGGUAAGUUAAAUGUCGGAAUAUUUAAAUUUGAUAUAAAUUGAUAUAUUUAUAACAAUAUAUAAAUUAAAUUAAAUUUUGUACAACUAAUUAUACAGUAUAUAAUUUAUUGAUAAUUUAUCUACAUUUUAUAUACAUUAGUUUUACCCAAUUAAAUACGAUUACAAUAUCAUACAACUUAAAUACAAUUUUCAUAAAAAAUUUAUAUAAUAUCUUUUGUAUGUAUUUUGUACGUGGUGUAUUCUUCUUCUUCUCUGAAAUUCCAAUCAAAACUUUCUUUCUUAAUACAAUUUUGAUACAUAUCAAUAACUUUAUGUAAAAAGAUAGUAUUUACAACUUAAAUACAAUUUCUUCUUUUUUCUUCUUCUUCUUCUUCUUCUUCAAGUUUUAAUUUGAAAUCCAGCUAAAAUCAACUCUCGUUUUUACCAAACACUCUCAAAAUUGAGAUAUAAAUUUCAAAGAAUAUUCCCAAUCGUGUGCAACAACACUCAAUCAAAAAAUAAAAUUUUAUUUUUUGAAAACCCGAAUUUGAAUUCAACGUUUUGAAACUUUUUAAUAGCUGUCAAUGGUGGAGAGUCAAACAUCUUUAGAAUUUAUUGAUUGACAGUUCAAUUGGGACACCAAUUGUGCAGCAUGAAAGAAAAUUAGAACUCUAUACUGAAACGAUUAAAAUCAACUGAUGAAUUCCAUUAAAACUCUAUACAAUAUGAAAGGAUAAAAAGUAGAGAACAUGGAAGAGAGAGAGAGAGAGAGAGAGAGAGAGAGAGAGAGAGAGAGAGAGAGAGUAUAUAGAGGGAUAGGGAUUCCCUAUUCAAUUCCUAAUAUAAAGGGAUAUAUACUUAUUGAUAGAUCUUAAACACUCUUACCUUAUGUUUUGAUGAUCUAACAAACUUACUGCUCAGAACCAGUUAUGGAACAUGACCUACUUUGGAGUGCUGCAAACUUCAAUGGACUCCAAUAAAAGAUGAACUACUAGAGAUUCGGAGCUAGGAACCAAACAAGAACCUGAUGCUCAUGUGAUUCCUAUAUUGCAGUACAAAGUCAUUUGGACACAGUUGGAACUGAAGUGACUGGGGCGGCACUGUUUCUGCCACAUUGCACCAUACUGUCAGCCCACUCAUUCUCUAACCAAGCAAAGUAUUCACAUCAUUUCAAGUGAUGUGAUCAAGAUUAUCAAAGGGGCUUUAUACAAGAACAUCACUGGAAGAUUUCUGUUUCUCAUUCAAGCCCAUAGCAAAAACAGAAAAAUCAUUCUUUUAAGCUUGAAGAACAAGGUUGAACGCCACUACGGACCAGUUCCUAAAAGGUUGAUUGUUGAUGUCCUAGUUGAGUUGUAACCUUGUUAUUGUGCUUACUAUAUCUCCUAAAUCACUUACUUAGAAGUUUACUGAUUAGGAAUCCUUUUGUAAAUUUUUAAACUUGUUGAGUUUAGUUUGUGGCUAAAUUUAGUCAUAAAAAGAAGUCUUUUUAAUCGUAGAAUUACAAAGUGGCUUCUGGUGACAACACCACAAGUUAGAAAAAGCCUUUGUAACUAGGAUAGUCACAAAGUGGCUUGUGGUAAAGGUACCACAAGUUAGUUGGGCAAAUCCUUUGCAAUCAGAAGUAUUAUAAAGUGGCUUGUAAUAGGUAAGAUUAUAAGCUGGUGAAGUUAAAAUCCUAUAGGGUAGGUCAUGGGUUUUUUAUCCCCUUGUGCGGGAUUUUUCCAUGUAAAAAUCCUCUGCCUCAUUUACUUACUACUUUACUAAGUGCUCUCAGCAGAAACUUGUAGAGAACUAGGUACUCUACGAUUUGGUGGAACCAUACAAACUAUAAAUUGAUAUCAUAGCAGGUUCCUCCUAUCAGGCUUACACCUAGGAAGGAUCUUAAUGGAAGCUUCACUAAAUUUUGAAGAAGGCCAAUCCAUAUAUCACCCACCCAAGUUUCAUGGAAAAUGCUAUUGGUCGUGGAAAGCUAGAAUGUAUGAUUUCAUCAUGGCUAAGGAUUGUGAGCUUUGGAAUGUCAUGUGUGAUGAUCUAUUUGUUCCAAUCAAGGUACUAAAUGAAUUUCAUUUUUCAAUAAACAAGACUUGUGGAGAAUACACUGAAGCAGACAAGAAAGCGGUGGAGAAGAAUUUUCGUGUCAAGAAAAUUCUGGUACAUGGUUUGGGACCUAAAAAGUACGACAGAAUCUCUACAUACGACACUAGCAAGGAAAUAUGGGAGCUUUGCAAAUAGCUUAUGAGGGAUCUACACAAGUAAAACAAGAUAAAUCUAAAACUGAUGAUAGUUCUACGAUAGUAGUUGAAGGCGAGGAGAUUGGAUAUGACUCAACGCUUGCUUUGAUGGCUCAAUCAGACAAUGAUGAAGACAAUGACAACAAAGAAGUAAACUUUAGGGAUGUUCAGAAAAAUCUGAAAUCUUAUUCUCCAAAAAAAUUUAUGUGUUUAGUUGAUGUUUUAAUUACUGCCUUUUGUAGUCUUGUAGAGGAUAGAGAUUCCUUGUUCUUAGAACUAGAAGAAUCUGAACAUACUAGAGAAGACUUACUGGCUGUAAUUACUAAUCAAAAGAAAGCCGUUGAAAUUCUUAGAAAUGAAAAUAGUGAUCUUUUGGCAGAAACUACUGACCAAGGGGAACUAAUAGUAAAGCCCUUGACUAAGUUAAAACUUGAAAGCUUUGAAAAAGGAAAUGAGAUAGUUAGUGAGGAAUAUUUUAGGCUUGAGAAUGA